This 560-nucleotide ribosomal RNA is filed under the name uncultured bacterium. Its description in RNAcentral is "bacterial SSU rRNA". It matches the Rfam family "Bacterial small subunit ribosomal RNA", at positions 338 to 916 of the family's 1533-position model. The record is from RNAcentral.
CCUACGGGAGGCAGCAGUGGGGAAUCUUAGACAAUGGGCGCAAGCCUGAUCUAGCCAUGCCGCGUGAGUGAUGAAGGCCUUAGGGUCGUAAAGCUCUUUCGCCUGUGAUGAUAAUGACAGUAGCAGGUAAAGAAACCCCGGCUAACUCCGUGCCAGCAGCCGCGGUAAUACGGAGGGGGUUAGCGUUGUUCGGAAUUACUGGGCGUAAAGCGCACGUAGGCGGAUCAGAAAGUUAGGGGUGAAAUCCCGGGGCUCAACCUCGGAACUGCCUCUAAAACUCCUGGUCUAGAGUUCGAGAGAGGUGAGUGGAAUUCCAAGUGUAGAGGUGAAAUUCGUAGAUAUUUGGAGGAACACCAGUGGCGAAGGCGGCUCACUGGCUCGAUACUGACGCUGAGGUGCGAAAGUGUGGGGAGCAAACAGGAUUAGAUACCCUGGUAGUCCACACCGUAAACGAUGAAUGCCAGUCGUCGGGCAGUAUACUGUUCGGUGACACACCUAACGGAUUAAGCAUUCCGCCUGGGGAGUACGGUCGCAAGAUUAAAACUCAAAGGAAUUGACGG